CCUACGGGGGGCAGCAGUGAGGAAUAUUGGUCAAUGGACGAGAGUCUGAACCAGCCAAGUAGCGUGAAGGAUGACUGCCCUAUGGGUUGUAAACUUCUUUUAUAUGGGAAUAAAAUGUUCCACGUGUGGGAUUUUGUAUGUACCAUAUGAAUAAGGAUCGGCUAACUCCGCGCCAGCAGCCGCGGUAAUACGGAGGAUCCGAGCGUUAUCCGGAUUUAUUGGGUUUAAAGGGAGCGUAGGUGGAUUGUUAAGUCAGUUGUGAAAGUUUGCGGCUCAACCGUAAAAUUGCAGUUGAAACUGGCAGUCUUGAGUACAGUAGAGGUGGGCGGAAUUCGUGGUGUAGCGGUGAAAUGCUUAGAUAUCACGAAGAACUCCGAUUGCGAAGGCAGUUCACUGGACUGCAACUGACACUGAGGCUCGAAAGUGUGGGUAUCAAACAGGAUUAGAUACCCCAGUAGUC
Molecule: ribosomal RNA, 460 nt
Filed under: uncultured bacterium
Lineage: Bacteria
Description: partial 16S ribosomal RNA
Rfam family: Bacterial small subunit ribosomal RNA
Source: RNAcentral